UACAGAGGGUGCGAGCGUUGUCCGGAAUCACUGGGCGUAAAGGGCGCGUAGGUGGCCCGACAAGUCACUGGUGAAAGCUCGACGCUCAACGUCGAGUCGGCCAGUGAUACUGUCGGACUAGAGUACAGAAGGGGCAACUGGAAUUCUCGGUGUAGCGGUGAAAUGCGUAGAUAUCGAGAGGAACACCUGCGGCGAAGGCGGGUUGCUGGGCUGAUACUGACGCUGAGGCGCGGAAAGCCAGGGGAGCGAACGGG
Molecule: ribosomal RNA, 254 nt
Filed under: uncultured bacterium
Lineage: Bacteria
Description: partial 16S ribosomal RNA
Rfam family: Bacterial small subunit ribosomal RNA
Source: RNAcentral